CCCAGACUAGCCCAAACGGUAAAGAACCUGCCUGCAAUGCAGGAGACCAGGGUUCCACCCCUGGGUUGGGA
This 71-nucleotide transfer RNA is filed under the name Ovis aries (sheep). It matches the Rfam family "tRNA". Rfam says of the family: Transfer RNA (tRNA) molecules are approximately 80 nucleotides in length. Their secondary structure includes four short double-helical elements and three loops (D, anti-codon, and T loops). The record is from Rfam by way of RNAcentral. Lineage: Eukaryota; Metazoa; Chordata; Mammalia; Artiodactyla; Bovidae.